GUUGACCUCGGAUCAGGUAGGGAUACCCGCUGAACUUAAGCAUAUCAAUAAGCGGAGGAAAAGAAACCAACAGGGAUUGCCCUAGUAACGGCGAGUGAAGCGGCAACAGCUCAAAUUUGAAAUCUGGCGCAAGCCCGAGUUGUAAUUUGUAGAGGAUGCUUCUAGGUAGCGACCGGUCUAAGUUCCUUGGAACAGGACGUCAUAGAGGGUGAGAAUCCCGUAUGUGACCGGCCCGCACCUUCCACGUAGCUCCUUCGACGAGUCGAGUUGUUUGGGAAUGCAGCUCUAAAUGGGAGGUAAAUUUCUUCUAAAGCUAAAUACCGGCCAGAGACCGAUAGCGCACAAGUAGAGUGAUCGAAAGAUGAAAAGCACUUUGGAAAGAGAGUUAAAAAGCACGUGAAAUUGUUGAAAGGGAAGCGCUCACAACCAGACUUCUGGGCGGUGUUCCGCCGGUCUUCUGACCGGUCUACUCGCCGUCCCGAGGCCAACAUCAUCUGGGACCGCCGGAUAAGACCUCAGGAAUGUAGCUUCCCUCGGGAAGUGUUAUAGCCUGUGGUGAUGCGGCGCGUCUCGGGUGAGGUCCGCGCUCCGGCAAGGAUGUUGGCGUAAUGGUUGUCAGCGGCCCGUCUUGAAACACGGACCAAGGAGUCUAACAUCUAUGCGAGUGUUCGGGUGUCAAACCCCUACGCGUAAUGAAAGUGAACGGAGGUGGGAAGCGCGAGCUGCACCAUCGACCGAUCCUGAUGUCCUCGGAUGGAUUUGAGUAAGAGCAUAGCUGUUGGGACCCGAAAGAUGGUGAACUAUGCCUGAAUAGGGUGAAGCCAGAGGAAACUCUGGUGGAGGCUCGCAGCGGUUCUGACGUGCAAAUCGAUCGUCAAAUUUGGGUAUAGGGGCGAAAGACUAAUCGAACCAUCUAGUAGCUGGUUCCUGCCGAAGU
This 937-nucleotide ribosomal RNA is filed under the name Ramularia cerastiicola. Its description in RNAcentral is "eukaryotic LSU rRNA". It matches the Rfam family "Eukaryotic large subunit ribosomal RNA", at positions 1 to 967 of the family's 3401-position model. Lineage: Eukaryota; Fungi; Ascomycota; Dothideomycetes; Mycosphaerellales; Mycosphaerellaceae. The record is from RNAcentral.